AGAGUUUGAUCAUGGCUCAGGAUAAACGCUGGCGGCGUGCCUAACACAUGCAAGUCGAACGCCCUGGUGCUUCGGCAGCAGGGAGUGGCGGACGGGUGAGUAACACAUGGGUCACCUACCCCCUGGUGAGGAAUACCGGCGAGAAAUCGUCGACAAGACCGCAUAGGCUUCCUGCGGGAAGCAAAGCUCCGCAAGGGGCGCCAGGGGAUGGGCCUGUGGCCGAUUAGCUGGUUGGGGAGGUAAAAGCCCCCCAAGGCGACGAUCGGUAGCUGGUCUGAGAGGAUGAUCAGCCACACUGGGAUUGAGAACGGCCCAGACUCCUACGGGAGGCAGCAGUGAGGAAUUUUCGGCAAUGGGCGCAAGCCUGACCGAGCAACGCCGCGUGCAGGACGAAGGUCUUCGGAUCGUAAACUGCUUUUCUCGGGGAUGAAUUUAUGACAGUACCCGAGGAAGAAGCCCCGGCUGACUACGUGCCAGCAGCCGCGGUAAGACGUAGGGGGCAAGCGUUGUCCGGAGUUACUGGGCGUAAAGCGCCCGCAGGCGGUCGGUCGCGUUUGAGGUAACAGCUCCUGGCUUACCUGGGAGAGCGUCUCAAAGACGGGCUGACUUGAGGACCAGAGAGGGACACGGAAUUCCG
Molecule: ribosomal RNA, 637 nt
Filed under: uncultured soil bacterium
Lineage: Bacteria
Description: bacterial SSU rRNA
Rfam family: Bacterial small subunit ribosomal RNA
Source: RNAcentral